AAGCCUCCUCGGGACCCUGACUGCAGGGUCCAGAGAAAGCCUGAGCCACGGGGAAGGUUCAGAGAUGCCCUCCUCCCCGGCACGUGUCCUGAUCUUUGUGGGUCAGCGGCAGCUACCUUUUCCUCUGCCUAAUGAAUGAGAUCCAGGCUGCUGCCUGGCCCCUGGGAAAUCCCAUGACAGAAAAGAAAUGAUAGCGGGGCCUGAGGGGAGCAGGAGCAGGAAGCAGGGAGGCUGGCACAGGGACAGCGUGCCCAGGAACACCCAGGCCCAGCUUCCCUCCCUCCCUUCCUCCCUCCCUCACAUGAGGAAAAAGCCUUGUCAUCGAUCCCUAGACUCCCGGCUCAGCCUCUCCCUCCUCUCCGGCAUCGACGGGGAGCCCUGGACCACGCAUCAGUCAGGAGCCUUCCCUCUCAGGGCUGUCUGGCCACUUGACCUUGACCAAGGCACUCCCCCCGGGCCCUGUCCCUCAGAAGAAACCAGAGAGCGGUUCGGUUCUUCCAAUCCACCUUCUGGAACCCUAGAAGGCUCCAGUCAGGAGGAACCGGCUCCCCAUCAUUUUAUGGAGGAGACCACUAAAGGGCAGGCAAGGAAGGAGGGCUUCCUGUCCUAUCCCAGGUCACAGAGAUCUCCAAUGGCAGCAUCAGGAUUGGCUCUUAAGAUGUUGGACUCUGAAUCCAGCUUGCCUUCAUCUCCUUCACAAUGGGCUCUCACAGCUGCUGCUGAAUCUACCCCUUUUCUCACCCAAAGCAAACAGAGCAGGUCCCUCCCGCCUUCCAGAAUUCCCUGAGUGACACCCUGAGCCUACGUUAAGGAGAGGAGCAAAACUGGACAGCAGGGUAAACUGAGAGGUGGCCUUGCUUUGUUUUAUUGAAGGAGAGGCCUUUGUAUGUUGCGGGGCAGAGGAAAGGGAAAGGGAACUGGAUGGGCAAUUUUCACAAUUUUUAUUUAAAGGAAUUUAAAUCAGGCUUCAGUUUUCCAUCUUUAAAAGGGAAGGGGGGGUGCAGCUGGGUAGCUCAGUGGAUUGAGAGUCAGACAGGGGUCCUGGGUUCAAAUUUGACCUCAGACACUUCUUAGCUGGUCACUUCACCCCCAUUGUCUAGCCCUUACCACUCUUCUGCCUCAGAAUCAAUACGCAGUACUUAUUCUAAGUGUUUAAAAAAUAAAAUAAUAAAAUGGGGGAGGAGGAUUGGAGCA
Molecule: long non-coding RNA, 1194 nt
Filed under: Monodelphis domestica (gray short-tailed opossum)
Lineage: Eukaryota; Metazoa; Chordata; Mammalia; Didelphimorphia; Didelphidae
Description: lncRNA (ENSMODG00000035732.2)
Source: RNAcentral